ACCUACCCUGUAACUCCAAUACGUUCCCAUGAUAAGGCAAGGCAAGGUUUCUUCUAACCUACCCUGUAACUCCAAUACGUUCCCCAUGAUAAGGCAAGGUUUCUUCUAACCUACCCUGUAACUCCAAUACGUUCCCCAUGAUAAGGCAAGGCAAGGUUUCUUCUAACCUACCCUGUAACUCCAAUACGUCCCCAUGAUAAGGCAAGGCAAGGUUUCUUCUAAAUAAGAGAUCAGGCUGAUGAGGUGUUGAAUGUGUUGGACAGAAAGAUGUGCACCAGCAGGUCAGACUUGGUUGAUGUACAGUGAACUGCUUUCUGUCAGUUGUGUAAUUAUGUAAAAACUAUAAUACGAAUAUUAGUAGCUAAAAGGCUGUUUAUUUAAUCUAAUUAAAUGAAUGAUUGUAUUUGCAGAACAACACAUUUGAAAAGGCAAGAUAAAUAGAAUAUUGUACUGGAAUCUCUGAGAGACUUGGUAGUUUAUGUCCAGUGAUAUUCACAGUAUUCUUCUUUAAAAGAUAUAGCGUGUGUUAACAUAUUCCUUUGUAAGAAACAGUUCAAGUAUAAAAAGUUCCCAACAUUGUAAAACAGUCAAUCUCACAAAGUUAAUAACAAACUCACAGCUAUGGAAAUAAAAUGUAAAAAACAAUGUUUUUAAGGAUAGAGAGUAUUAUAAUGUAUAUCUAAUAGUUUAUACUGUAACGUUUCUCUAUCGUUGUCCGCACACAUUACAAAGAGAAAGAUAUCUACAAAAUAACAAGAAAAUAGGUUGUAUAGAUAAAGAAAAGGUUUCCUUCAUGCCGUUAUAUUUAGGUUUUAUAAAAGUCCUAAUUAUCAUUGUAGCUAUAGUACAUACCUGACAAUAACAAUGUGAAUAUC
This 875-nucleotide long non-coding RNA is filed under the name Salmo salar (Atlantic salmon). RNAcentral's name for it is "lncRNA (ENSSSAG00000095643.1)". Lineage: Eukaryota; Metazoa; Chordata; Actinopteri; Salmoniformes; Salmonidae. The record is from RNAcentral.